Molecule: ribosomal RNA, 463 nt
Filed under: uncultured Methanolinea sp.
Lineage: Archaea; Methanobacteriati; Methanobacteriota; Methanomicrobia; Methanomicrobiales; Methanoregulaceae
Description: bacterial SSU rRNA
Rfam family: Archaeal small subunit ribosomal RNA
Source: RNAcentral
CACCACAACGGGUGGAGCCUGUCGGUUUAAUUGGACUCAACGCCGGGCAGCUCACCGGAUAAGACAGCUGGAUGAUAGCCGGGCUGAAGACUCUGCUUGACUAGCUGAGAGGAGGUGCAUGGCCGUCGUCAGUUCGUACUGUGAAGCAUCCUGUUAAGUCAGGCAACGAGCGAGACCCACGCCAACAGUUGCCAGCAUGUCCUCCGGGAUGAUGGGGACACUGUUGGGACCGCCUCUGCUAAAGAGGAGGAAGGAAUGGGCAACGGUAGGUCAGCAUGCCCCGAAUUAUCCGGGCUACACGCGGGCUACAAUGGUCAGGACAAUGGGUAUCGACACCGAGAGGUGGAGGCAAUCUCCUAAACCUGUCCUUAGUUCGGAUUGUGGGCUGCAACUCGCCCACAUGAAGCUGGAAUCCGUAGUAAUCGCGUUUCAAAAUAGCGCGGUGAAUAUGUCCCUGCUCCUU